Molecule: ribosomal RNA, 492 nt
Filed under: uncultured bacterium
Lineage: Bacteria
Description: partial 16S ribosomal RNA
Rfam family: Bacterial small subunit ribosomal RNA
Source: RNAcentral
AGUGAACGCUGGCGGUAGGCCUAACACAUGCAAGUCGAACGGCAGCACAGUAAGAGCUUGCUCUUACGGGUGGCGAGUGGCGGACGGGUGAGGAGUACAUCGGAAUCUACUUUUUCGUGGGGGAUAACGUAGGGAAACUUACGCUAAUACCGCAUACGACCUACGGGUGAAAGCAGGGGAUCUUCGGACCUUGCGCGAUUGAAUGAGCCGAUGUCGGAUUAGCUAGUUGGCGGGGUAAAGGCCCACCAAGGCGACGAUCUGUAGCUGGUCUGAGAGGAUGAUCAGCCACACUGGAACGGAGACACGGUCCAGACUCCUACGGGAGGCAGCAGUGGGGAAUAGUGGAAAAUGGGCGCAAGCCUGAUCCAGCCAUACCGCGUGGGUGAAGAAGGCCUUCGGGUUGUAAAGCCCUUUUGUUGGGAAAGAAAAGCAGCAGGUUAAUACCCCGCUGUUCUGACGGUACCCAAAGAAUAAGCACCGGCUAACUUCGUG